CGAAUUGCAGCACAAUCGAGUUCAAACCACUUGGCCUGUUCACGGGACGAAAACAUAACCUCAGAAGUCGUGUAUUUUACCACCAAAGUAUGGAUAUUUGAAUAUAAAAUUAUUCCAUGGCUUUUCGCCACUAAGUGCCUCCGCAUAGUGCUAUUUCAUUUUUUGUGUUUUGCUGUAUAGAAAAUUACUCCUGCAAUGGAACUAGCCUGGCCUCGUACGAGUAUGAAACAGUAGUUACGGGACAUUUUACUACUUACAGGAUGUGAAUCAUGUUUACCUCUCAACUUAUUUAAUUUUAAACCAAAGUGCAAGACAAUAAUCAACCUGUAAGUUAUGCCAAAUAAAAAAAAAGAUUGCUAAUUGAA
Long non-coding RNA from Frankliniella occidentalis (western flower thrips), 365 nucleotides. RefSeq lists it as uncharacterized. The record is from RefSeq and is a predicted model, not a curated record. The transcript has 4 exons. Lineage: Eukaryota; Metazoa; Arthropoda; Insecta; Thysanoptera; Thripidae.